CCUACGGGGGGCUGCAGUGGGGAAUAUUGCACAAUGGGCGCAAGCCUGAUGCAGCCAUGCCGCGUGUGUGAAGAAGGCCUUCGGGUUGUAAAGCACUUUCAGCGGGGAGGAAGGCGGUGAGGUUAAUAACCUCAUCGAUUGACGUUACCCGCAGAAGAAGCACCGGCUAACUCCGUGCCAGCAGCCGCGGUAAUACGGAGGGUGCAAGCGUUAAUCGGAAUUACUGGGCGUAAAGCGCACGCAGGCGGUCUGUCAAGUCGGAUGUGAAAUCCCCGGGCUCAACCUGGGAACUGCAUUCGAAACUGGCAGGCUAGAGGCUUGUAGAGGGGGGUAGAAGUCCAGGUGUAGCGGUGAAAUGCGUAGAGAUCUGGAGGAAUACCGGUGGCGAAGGCGGCCCCCUGGACAAAGACUGACGCUCAGGUGCGAAAGCGUGGGGAGCAAACAGGAUUAGAUACCCCUGUAGUC
Molecule: ribosomal RNA, 465 nt
Filed under: uncultured Klebsiella sp.
Lineage: Bacteria; Pseudomonadati; Pseudomonadota; Gammaproteobacteria; Enterobacterales; Enterobacteriaceae
Description: bacterial SSU rRNA
Rfam family: Bacterial small subunit ribosomal RNA
Source: RNAcentral